GUUGUAUGGUUAAGUGACUAAGCGUACAUGGUGGAUGCCUUGGCAGUCAGAGGCGAUGAAGGACGUACUAACCUGCGAUAAGCCGUGAGCAGUCGGUAAGAGACAUUACGACUCACGGAUUUCCGAAUGGGGAAACCCACUUAGCAUAAGCUAGGUAUCGCUACGUGAAUACAUAGCGUAGCGAGGCGAACCGGGAGAACUGAAACAUCUAAGUACCCCGAGGAAAAGAAAUCAACCGAGAUUCCCUCAGUAGCGGCGAGCGAACGGGGAUUAGCCCUUAAGCAUCUUGGAAGUUAGUGGAACGGUCCUGGAAAGGCCGGCGAUACAGGGUGAUAGCCCCGUACACGAAAACAACCUUGAUGUGAAAUCGAGUAGGGCGGGACACGUGACAUCCUGUCUGAAUAUGGGGGGACCAUCCUCCAAGGCUAAAUACUCCUGACUGACCGAUAGUGAACCAGUACCGUGAGGGAAAGGCGAAAAGAACCCCUGUGAGGGGAGUGAAAUAGAACCUGAAACCGUGUACGUACAAGCAGUGGGAGCCCUUCGGGGUGACUGCGUACCUUUUGUAUAAUGGGUCAGCGACUUACAUUUUGUAGCGAGGUUAACCGUAUAGGGGAGCCGUAGGGAAACCGAGUCUUAACUGGGCGUCUAGUUGCAAGGUGUAGACCCGAAACCGGGUGAUCUAGCCAUGGGCAGGUUGAAGGUUGAGUAACAUCAACUGGAGGACCGAACCCACUAACGUUGCAAAGUUAGGGGAUGACCUGUGGCUGGGGGUGAAAGGCCAAUCAAACUCGGAGAUAGCUGGUUCUCCCCGAAAGCUAUUUAGGUAGCGCCUCGGACGAAUACUACUGGGGGUAGAGCACUGUUUGGGCUAGGGGGUCAUCCCGACUUACCAACCCCAUGCAAACUCCGAAUACCAGUAAGUAAUAUCCGGGAGACACACGGCGGGUGCUAACGUCCGUCGUGAAGAGGGAAACAACCCAGACCGCCGGCUAAGGUCCCAAAGUUCUGGUUAAGUGGGAAACGAUGUGGGAAGGCUCAGACAGCUAGGAUGUUGGCUUAGAAGCAGCCAUCAUUUAAAGAAAGCGUAAUAGCUCACUAGUCGAGUCGGCCUGCGCGGAAGAUGUAACGGGGCUCAAACCAGGCACCGAAGCCGCGGAUUCACGCUAAGCGUGAGUGGUAGGGGAGCGU
Molecule: ribosomal RNA, 1191 nt
Filed under: Aeromonas hydrophila
Lineage: Bacteria; Pseudomonadati; Pseudomonadota; Gammaproteobacteria; Aeromonadales; Aeromonadaceae
Description: partial 23S ribosomal RNA
Rfam family: Bacterial large subunit ribosomal RNA
Source: RNAcentral